Non-coding RNA from Puccinia sorghi, 111 nucleotides. Lineage: Eukaryota; Fungi; Basidiomycota; Pucciniomycetes; Pucciniales; Pucciniaceae. The record is from the annotation of a GenBank genome assembly.
GAGGUGGUUUUCAGUUCAUUGUCGUAAGGGACUAGGAUACAGUUCCAGUGAUAGAUCUAUCACCGGAACCGUAUCCUAGUCCCUUACGACAAAGAGUCCGUCCACCAUUGA